Molecule: transfer RNA, 76 nt
Filed under: Rhodococcus sp. (in: high G+C Gram-positive bacteria)
Lineage: Bacteria; Bacillati; Actinomycetota; Actinomycetes; Mycobacteriales; Nocardiaceae
Also listed under: 2 other names
Description: tRNA-Arg
Rfam family: tRNA
About the family: Transfer RNA (tRNA) molecules are approximately 80 nucleotides in length. Their secondary structure includes four short double-helical elements and three loops (D, anti-codon, and T loops).
Source: RNAcentral
GCCUCCGUAGCUCAGGGGAUAGAGCAAUGGCCUUCUAAUCCAUUGGUCGCAGGUUCGAAUCCUGCCGGGGGCACCA